This 253-nucleotide ribosomal RNA is filed under the name uncultured bacterium. Its description in RNAcentral is "partial 16S ribosomal RNA". It matches the Rfam family "Bacterial small subunit ribosomal RNA", at positions 524 to 776 of the family's 1533-position model. The record is from RNAcentral.
UACGUAGGGGGCCAGCGUUGUUCGGAAUUACUGGGUGUAAAGGGUUCGUAGGCGGUGUGGCAAGUUGGGAGUGAAAUCUCUGGGCUCAACCCAGAGACGGCUUCCAAAACUGCCGUGCUUGAGUGUGGGAGAGGCUCGUGGAAUUGCAGGUGUAGCGGUGAAAUGCGUAGAUAUCAGGAGGAACACCGGUGGCGAAGGCGGGUCUCUGGGCCGAUACUGACGCUGAGGAGCGAAAGCGUGGGGAGCGAACAGG